UGUAAACAAUGGUUCAACUGUCAGAAUAAAUAUACAGGUCUUGUGACCUUUCUAAUCAUUAAUAUAGUAAAUUGCAGUUGUUUCCCUUUAAACAACUUGAUUGUAUUUGUUCGGCCUAAUUGUUCCUUACAAUGACAAGCUGCUGAAUUUUUUUUAUUACAUAGAAAAUAUGAAAUUAAAAAACAGUGAACUCAAGAACCUUUGAUGCAUAAAAGUGUAGUUGUUUCCCAUUAAUCAAUGUCUGUACAUUAAUAAGUUGCUGAUCUUUCGAUGAUUAAGUAGAAAUUCUAAUAUGACGUGCUUCUUUCGCUUUAUAAACAACACUGUGAUAAAAUUCUCGAUAUAUCUAUACUUAGCACAGACUCAGAGAUAUACAUAAUAAUGGCUGUUACAAUA
Molecule: long non-coding RNA, 396 nt
Filed under: Mytilus galloprovincialis (Mediterranean mussel)
Lineage: Eukaryota; Metazoa; Mollusca; Bivalvia; Mytilida; Mytilidae
Source: RNAcentral